AGCGAACGCUGGCGGCAGGCUUAACACAUGCAAGUCGAGCGGGCAUCUUCGGGUGUCAGCGGCGGACGGGUGAGUAACGCGUGGGAACGUGCCUUCUGGUUCGGAAUAACUCAGGGAAACUUGAGCUAAUACCGGAUACGCCCUUUUGGGGAAAAGUUUACUGCCGGAAGAUCGGCCCGCGUCUGAUUAGCUAGGUGGGUGGGUAACGGCCUACCAAGGCGACGAUCAGUAGGUGGUCUGGGAGGAUGAUCUGCCAAACUGGGGCGGAGACACCGCCCCGACUCCUACGGGAAGCAGCAGUGGGGAAUAAUGGACAAUGGGGGCAACCCUGAUCCAGCCAUGCCGCGUGAGUGAUGAAGGCCUUAGGGUUGUAAAGCUCUUCUAUCCGGGACGAUAAUGACGGUACCGGAGGAAUAAGCCCCGGCUAACUUCGUGCCAGCAGCCGCGGUAA
This 451-nucleotide ribosomal RNA is filed under the name uncultured bacterium. RNAcentral describes it as "partial 16S ribosomal RNA". It matches the Rfam family "Bacterial small subunit ribosomal RNA", at positions 29 to 523 of the family's 1533-position model. The record is from RNAcentral.